AGUCAAUAGAUACCCUGGUAGUCCCAGCUGUAAACGAUGCGCGUUAGGUGUAUCGGUGACCACGAGUCACCGAGGUGCCGAAGGGAAACCGUGAAACGUGCCGCCUGGGAAGUACGGUCGCAAGGCUGAAACUUAAAGGAAUUGGCGGGGGAGCACCACAACAGGUGGAGCCUGCGGUUUAAUCGGACUCAACGCCGGGAAGCUCACCGGAUAAGACAGCUGAAUGAUAGCCGGGUUGAAGACUCUGCUUGACUGGCUGAGAGGAGGUGCAUGGCCGUCGUCAGUUCGUACUGUGAAGCAUCCUGUUAAGUCAGGCAACGAGCGAGACCCACGCCAACAGUUGCCAGCAUGUCCUCCGGGAUGGUGGGGACACUGUUGGGACCGCCUCUGCUAAAGAGGAGGAAGGAAUGGGCAACGGUAGGUCAGCAUGCCCCGAAUUAUCCGGGCUACACGCGGGCUACAAUGGUCAGGACAAUGGGUAUCAACACCGAAAGGUGAAGGCAAUCUCCUAAACCUGUCCUUAGUUCGGAUUGUGGG
Molecule: ribosomal RNA, 537 nt
Filed under: uncultured bacterium
Lineage: Bacteria
Description: bacterial SSU rRNA
Rfam family: Archaeal small subunit ribosomal RNA
Source: RNAcentral